Molecule: ribosomal RNA, 277 nt
Filed under: uncultured bacterium
Lineage: Bacteria
Description: partial 16S ribosomal RNA
Rfam family: Bacterial small subunit ribosomal RNA
Source: RNAcentral
AAUCAACGCUGGCGGCGUGCCUAACACAUGCAAGUCGAACGAGAAAGCGGGGGCAACCCCGUGAGUAAAGUGGCGUACGGGUGAGUAACACGUAGCUAACCUACCCUUGAGUGGGGGAUAACCUGGGGAAACUCGGGCUAAUACCGCAUAACCUCCUUGUUGCCCAAGCAGCGAGGAGCAAAGGUCCGCAAGGGCCGCUUGAGGAGGGGGCUGCGGCCGAUUAGCUAGUUGGCGGGGUAAUGGCCCACCAAGGCGAUGAUCGGUAGCCGGCCUGAGA